UCUCUUCCCAAUAGAGUUCACUCUUAAAAUUCCCAACGGAGUUCCUCCGUCUUGUUACACUCUUUUACUUGUUGAAAUCCCAAACGAACACUAAAAACCCCUCGGAAUCCCAAUUGAAUACAAAGCGCCAGUUUUGUACACUGUCCUGCAUAAAGCCCCCAAUUGGAGCACCAAGAGCCAAGCUGGCAGAAGAAGAUGGCGCACGGCGGCGGACCAAGGCAGGUGAAACUGGACCGAGAGAGCGAGCUCAGAAUCGAAGUCGGCUACGACGCCCCUCUCAAGCUCCGCCUGCUCAGCGGCAGCGCUGAGAUCUUCGGCACCGAGCUCCCUCCUGAUUUCUAGCUCACCUUCCCGCCCAGGCUCAAAUUUGCUGUUUUUACUUGGAACGGAGCCACAAUUGAGAUGGAGGGCAGUACGGAAACCGAGUACACGGCUGACGAGACUCCAAAUAUCAGCUAUGUGAAUGUGCACGCCGUACUGGAAGAACGGAGACACCGUGCUAAACCCUUGCCGCCUGAUGACCCCAAUUCUCAGAUUAUUGGAGGAGCAGCCAAUUCGUUUUCUGACGCCAUACCUGCCAGCAAACAAACUGUAGAUCAGGGUAUGCAGAAUAUGGGUCACAAAAAGCAUCGGAGAUAAUUCUCAACCUAUAAGUCUUGAUUGUGUUUUCGUUGAUAAAGAUGAGAUCAAGCAAAGUUGUCCCUCAUGCUGCCAUAAUCGAAUUGAAUAGGAUGGGGAUGUGGUGCAUAUAUUGUGUGGUUGGAAAGAUAUUAUAUAUACUAAAAGCCAGUUGAAACCAGCACUGUUCAGCAAUACUGAUUUGACGGAUCAGCCCCUGGUUUGUUUGGGUUUUGGCGCUGCUUUCUUCCUUUUCUAUAGUAAAAUUUCUACUUUGCCCGCGCUGGGUGGGUUCUUUUCCAGUGGCCAAAUUGCCCUCAGGCUUUUUCAUGCCUUCUGAUUGUUUUUGGUGGUUCGUGCAGGGACAAGUUGGGAAUUGUGUGUGACACGUGUCGGUCAUCGUGCUAUUCUCUUUUGGGGUUUAUUUUGCUUGCUUUUUGUUUCCGUUUCUCCCUUGCAUUGGUGGUUUUCUAUCGCUCUCAGCUUCUCUUUUCUUUUGGUUCCCGUUGUGUGCUUCUCUUUGGUGCGCUUUUGUGUUUUGUUCUUCUCAACCAUGGUUUUCAGAACGUCGCAGGUGCUUCCUUCUUCUGAUAACUCUGUGGGUUUUAAACUGUGAGAGGAGUUGGCUCCUGUGGCGAGAGAGGUCUAGGUGCGUCAUUUGGGGAAGCAGAGGUUGGGGAAAGAGACAGAGGGUGUAAGAAGUGUCGUUGCAGGUGAGCAUUUGAGGAUAAAUGGAAAACAUUUGCCCAACUCCUGUUAAUCAGUUAAUACCAUACAUGAAGGCUGACAAAAUCAAAGUUCGAAUAUGCAGAAUUUGGAAAUCCAUCAUCCUAGGAACUAUUCAGAAGUACACUGCCCUGCAUUGUGUGUUCGUCGAUGAAGCGCAACAUGCGGUAGAGGGCUGUACAUCAGAUGGUGAUCACGAUGUUAUGGCCUCCAAAAUUGAAGCCGGUGGAUGUUAUGAAAUCAUGGAUUUUCGGACUGUUAAAAUUAGGGCACAAUACAAGGCAGUACCGCAUGAAACCUUGAUUUUGUUCAACUCGAAAACAGUGUUUCAAAAAUUAGCAAGCGUCUUCCCUCCUAUCCCUCGCCAUUGAUUUUUUCUGCAAGAUUAUAACACACUGUACCCUCGCUUGAACAGUGUUGACAUUCUCAUAGGUACUUUUAAUCUAUAUAUGGAUGUGCAUGGGU
Pyrus x bretschneideri (Chinese white pear) is the source of this 1809-nucleotide long non-coding RNA. RefSeq lists it as uncharacterized. Lineage: Eukaryota; Viridiplantae; Streptophyta; Magnoliopsida; Rosales; Rosaceae. The record is from RefSeq and is a predicted model, not a curated record. The transcript has 8 exons.